This 512-nucleotide ribosomal RNA is filed under the name uncultured bacterium. RNAcentral describes it as "partial 16S ribosomal RNA". It matches the Rfam family "Bacterial small subunit ribosomal RNA", at positions 28 to 523 of the family's 1533-position model. The record is from RNAcentral.
GACGAACGCUGGCGGCGUGCCUAAUACAUGCAAGUCGAGCGAAUCAAUAGGAGCUUGCUCCUGAUGGUUAGCGGCGGACGGGUGAGUAACACGUGGGCAACCUGCCUGUAAGACAGGGAUAACACCGGGAAACCGGUGCUAAUACCGGAUAAUCCUUUUCCUCUCAUGAGGAAAAGCUGAAAGUCGGUUUCGGCUGACACUUACAGAUGGGCCCGCGGCGCAUUAGCUAGUUGGUGAGAUAACGGCUCACCAAGGCGACGAUGCGUAGCCGACCUGAGAGGGUGAUCGGCCACACUGGGACUGAGACACGGCCCAGACUCCUACGGGAGGCAGCAGUAGGGAAUCUUCCACAAUGGACGAAAGUCUGAUGGAGCAACGCCGCGUGAGCGAUGAAGGCCUUCGGGUCGUAAAGCUCUGUUGUUAGGGAAGAACAAGUACCGGAGUAACUGCCGGUACCUUGACGGUACCUAACCAGAAAGCCACGGCUAACUACGUGCCAGCCGCCGCCGUAA